RNAcentral lists this ribosomal RNA (254 nucleotides) under uncultured prokaryote. RNAcentral's name for it is "partial 16S ribosomal RNA". It matches the Rfam family "Bacterial small subunit ribosomal RNA", at positions 524 to 777 of the family's 1533-position model. The record is from RNAcentral.
UACGGAGGAUACAGGCGUUAUCCGGAUUUAUUGGGUUUAAAGGGUGCGCAGGUUGUUUGAUAAGUCAGUGGUGAAAGUCUGUCGCUUAACGGUAGGAUUGCCAUUGAUACUGUUAGACUUGAAUAUGGAUGAGGUAGGCGGAAUGUGUAGUGUAGCGGUGAAAUGCAUAGAUAUUACACAGAACACCGAUUGCGAAGGCAGCUUACUAAUCCAUCAUUGACGCUGAGGCACGAAAGCGUGGGGAUCAAACAGGA